This is a long non-coding RNA of Dreissena polymorpha, 2029 nucleotides long. RefSeq lists it as uncharacterized. Lineage: Eukaryota; Metazoa; Mollusca; Bivalvia; Myida; Dreissenidae. The transcript has 4 exons. The record is from RefSeq and is a predicted model, not a curated record.
CUCGACCAGCAUUUAUUUUUAGAUUAUGGCAUUAGCCAAUCAGAACUCUUGUUAUAUUUGCCAUUUGGUACGAAACUGGUUUGUUUGGAAAAAAUGGCUGCCGCCAUGAUGGUGCCUUUUUCACAUCUUCUGCAAGUUUAUGUGACGACCUGUUUAAAGUUUAACAUUGACACGCGGUGGACUUCAAUAUGUAUGAUCUACUUAUGCUGCCACAAUGUAAAGGCAACAAUCACUGGGUUUUGCUGGUUGCAAGUGUUAUGUCCAGGACUGUAACCAUUUACGACUCGUUGGGUGGUAACAACAAGGCCUUGUUCGAUUUGUUCUGCCAGCUCAUGUGUCAACGAGCGCAAAUUGUGAAAGAUGGCUUGGAAAAAUUCAGUUCAGAGUUCAAAGCGCCACCUUGCAACAAACAGCGCCAUGGAAACAGCUGUGGAGUGUUUGCAUUGAUGACUGCCAAAUGUUUGGUCAUGAAAAAGCAUCCCACAAUGUUGCGACAGGCCCAUGAUUCAGUUUAUUGAGACUAGUCGUGAGACACAGACUUCUGAUUCAUGGAGUGCGGAAAACAUAUCUGUGCGACUCGAUCACUCCACUGUAAAGACCCGCACGGCAUUAAAAUGGAUAUUAUCAAUAUGUGUUGUUGCUCGAAAAUAUGUUUUUGUAGCAGGAAGUGCUUUGGGCUCGAUUAAUGUGAGAACUCAACAAAAUAUUAAUAAAAUCCUUCUGUGCCUUGAAGUUCUGAAAACAGAAGUAGCCAGUUGGUAUUACACAUCUCCUAAACAAGUACAGCACAAUAAAACUUAAGGUUUUAUAAUCCUAAAUUUUUAUAACAUCUUUAUAUCCACACAAAAAUAUUGAUGAUUGUGGUGCUCAGAUUGCAAAACCACCUGUUUGGCAAAAAUAAUCCAGAUGGUUAUAUUAUGAUAAGUGCAAGAAAAAAAGAAUAACUCGGGAGAUAAUAAUUGAUAUGAUAAUCAUUGCUUGACAGAAUCACAAUUGACCUAGAUAUUUAAUUAUGUAGUGGUGUAUUUCAAGUGCCUUAAGAUUCAAAAAACAUAUUGACUUAAAAUAAAUAAUCCCGAUGGCGUAAAUGACUUAUCAUUUCAUGUUCAUGAACCGAUUUUAAAAUACUUUGUAGACUUAUCUGCUAGGCGGUGAGGACUUUUAGACCACCUGAUAAACUUCAACUUUAUUUUCCCUAGUUCAGUAACCGACUAAAGAUAUGCUAACAUAAUACUGAUGACUGAUGAGUCUGUUGUGUCUUAUAUUCUCAUUGCUACUUAAAAUAUUAAGUCUAUUUCAACGUUUAGACUUAUAAUAAGCACAUUCGUUAAAUUGAUAUCCCCCGCCAAAUAAAUUUUGAUUAUUGAUGGGUGCAGAACUAACAGAAAAGUUUAUUUGAAGGGUUGUACCCUUAUGUCACUUAUUUAAAAGUAACAACAUAAAAAAACAAUUGACAAUAACUCUUAUUUAAGAAAGUGUAGGGUUAUAGAUUUUGUGCAUGACACCUCUCCUCAUUGAUAUCUUAACAUCCAUUAAAUUUCAUCUUUAAAUCGUGUAUAGUAUCUGUGAUAUAGUCCUGUAAAGUAACAUCAGACAUAUACAUAUGUACUAGGGUUAUGUUUCUUGUGCAUGGCACUUAUUCUCGUUGACAAUUAUACACCCAUGAAAUUACCUGUUUAAAUCUUGUAUUUAUAGUUUCUGAGAUAAAGCCCUGAAAAGUUACAUCUUACAAAAACAACAAAGGGCAAUAACUCUUAUUUAAGAAAGUGAAGGGUUGUGGUUCUUAUGCAUGGUUCUAUAAAUGAGAUAUAGCCCUGAAAAGUUACAUCAUAAAAUAACUAACAAGAAAGGGCAAUAACCGUUAUGUAAGAAAGUAUACGGUUAUGGUUCUCGUGCAUUGAUAAUUAUACAAACAUGAAGUUUCAUGUUAAAAUCUUGUAUAGUAUCUGAGAUAUAGCCCUAGUUACAUUAUACAAAAACAACAAAGCGCAGUAACUCUUAUAUCAGAAAGUGACGGAUUAUGGUUCUU